This is a long non-coding RNA of Cydia pomonella (codling moth), 602 nucleotides long. RefSeq lists it as uncharacterized. NCBI's taxonomy places the organism in Eukaryota, Metazoa, Arthropoda, Insecta, Lepidoptera, Tortricidae. The record is from RefSeq and is a predicted model, not a curated record. The transcript is spliced from 2 exons.
ACAUUUUCAUAGAUAUAAAACAUAGAUUUUAAUUUUCGGGCAGAAGCCUUGGCAAUUUUAAGGAUAUAUUUGAGACUAACAGCUAGAGCGCAUUCCACUAUUUCUACCAGUGUCAUUUAUAAACUCUAUACUGACAGUUUUUUAAGCCAAGCUAUAGAUACACAGGUGGUGGCGCUACUGUGCCAAAUUUCCUUUCAGCAUUAACCUUUUUUUACAUUAAAACUCAAAGGUAACUAGCUGGCCACCGAAAUAGGAUGCUGACAUAUUGACAGACUGAUAACUGACUUCAUAAAUAAAUUAAUCAUCCCAAUAGCAUAUGGAAAAUUAUCGACGCUUUAUAUUAUUAUUUGUAAACAAUUGUUUAACGUUAUAACAUAUCUUCAACUUUUACGUCAACCGCUGAUGAAUAUUUAACAUUGGAGUUUGUUUGUUAUGGUUUUGACGAGACUGGACCAAUCGGGCAUACAAGCGGCCAAGGAUCGAGAUACAUGGAGAGCUUUGGAGAAGGCCUUCACCUGUGGAAGCGAGGUUCUUGAAUAAUUUAAAUAAUUUAAAUUGAAUUUACAAUGUAUUAAUUCAAGAAAUAAAACGCUUUUUAUUUU